Oncorhynchus keta (chum salmon) is the source of this 773-nucleotide long non-coding RNA. RefSeq lists it as uncharacterized. The record is from RefSeq and is a predicted model, not a curated record. The transcript has 5 exons. Lineage: Eukaryota; Metazoa; Chordata; Actinopteri; Salmoniformes; Salmonidae.
UGAUGCGUUGUGCAGUCCUCACUACCCUCUGGAGAGCCUUACGGUUGAGGGCGGAGCAGUUGCCGUACCAGGCGGUGAUACAGCCCGACAGGAUGCUCUCGAUUGUGCAUCUGUAGAAGUUGGUGAGUGCUUUUGGUGACAAGCCGAAUUUCUUCAGCCUCCUGAGGCUGAAGAGGCGAUGCUGCGCCUUCUUCACGAUGCUGUCUGUGUGGGUGGACCAAUUCAGUUUGUCUGUGAUGUGUACGCCGAGGAACUUAAAACUUACUGUAGAGGUGAGCAGUGUGAUUGGGUAAAAGGACAGUCAGUUUGUAGAGGUGAGCAGUGUGAUUGGGUAAAAGGACAGUCAGUUUGUAGAGGUGAGCAGUGUGAUUGGGUAAAAGGACAGUCAGUUUGUAGAGGUGAGCAGUGUGAUUGGGUAAAAGGACAGUCAGUUUGUAGAGGUGAGCAGUGUGAUUGGGUAAAAGGACAGUCAGUUUGUAGAGGUGAGCAGUGUGAUUGGGUAAAAGGACAGUCAGUUUGUAGAGGUGAGCAGUGUGAUUGGGUAAAAGGACAGUCAGUUUGUAGAGGUGAGCAGUGUGAUUGGGUAAAAGGACAGUCAGUUUGUAGAGGUGAGCAGUGUGAUUGGGUAAAAGGACAGUCAGUUUGUAGAGGUGAGCAGUGUGAUUGGGUAAAAGGACAGUCAGUUUGUAGAGGUGAGCAGUGUGAUUGGGUAAAAGGACAGUCAGUUUGUAGAGGUGAGCAGUGUGAUUGGGUAAAAGGACAGUCAGUUUGUA